AACAGUUCUGCUUCUGUGAGCCAGGUGUUUAAGAGAGGGUAGGACCAGAGAAGUAGUGUUGGAAGUGAGCAUUUCUAGGUGCAGACAAGGGAUUUGGGGCAUAGAAGAUCACACUCUUCUUCCUCUGUGUCUUAAGAUUUUACUUUAUAGUAAUUUAUCUUAGUCCAGGUGCAGUGCCUCACACCUGUAAUCCCAGCACUUUGGAAGGCUGAGCUGGGAGGAUUGCUUGAGGCUGGCAGUUCGAGACUUCUUCCAUUUUAAGGGACCUUGUGAUUACAGCUGGUCCACCUGGAUCCAAGAUACUCUCCCUAUUUUAAGG
Nomascus leucogenys (northern white-cheeked gibbon) is the source of this 319-nucleotide long non-coding RNA. RefSeq lists it as uncharacterized. The transcript has 3 exons. NCBI's taxonomy places the organism in Eukaryota, Metazoa, Chordata, Mammalia, Primates, Hylobatidae. The record is from RefSeq and is a predicted model, not a curated record.